GGCUGGAUCACCUCCUUUCUAAGGAAUUUUGGUUUUCGCAAGAAAAUUAUAUUUCUUAAGGUCAACCGACAAAUCGUUUUCCUAGCUGUUUGGUUUUGAAAGAGUGAAGGCUUAGGGGCCUGUAGCUCAGUUGGUUAGAGCACACGCUUGAUAAGCGUGGGGUCGGAAGUUCAAGUCUUCCUAGGCCCACCAGUUCGAAAGUUUGUUCUUUGAAAAUCGAAUAGUUUUGUUUAACUCUGUAUUUUAAUUUUAGUAAUGUUGAUUUAUUUUUAUGAAUGCGGUGAUUUUCAGCCCGUAAGGCGUAAGUUUAAAAGCUACUAAGGGCUUAUGGCGGAUGCCUUGGCACCAAAAAGCGAUGAAGGACGUGGUAAGCUGCGAAAAGUCUCGGGGAACAGCACACAUGUUUUGAUCCGGGAAUGUCCGAAUGGGGAAACCCACCAGUUAUCUGGUAUCUGUUGGUGAAUACAUAGCCAACUGAAGCGAACGAGGGGAAGUGAAACAUCUCAGUACCCUCAGGAAAAGAAAUCAACCGAGAUUUCCCCAGUAGUGGCGAGCGAACGGGAAAUAGCCUAAACCUUAUGUAUGUUAAAGCUUCUAGGCGUUGUACAUAAGGUGUCGCGGGACUUUCAGGGAUAUCUAGAAAUAUUCCAAAGAGUUACAAAAUCAAAUUUUAGUUUAACGGUUUGGAAAAUCCGGCCAGAGAAGGUGAUAGCCCUGUGAAUAAAAAAGUUUGAUCUCUUGAAAGUAUCCCAAGUACCACCGGACACGAGAAAUCCGUUGGGAAUCCGGGGAGACCACUCUCCAAGGCUGAAUAUUCUUUGGUGACCGAUAGUGAACUAGUACCGUGAGGGAAAGUUGAAAAGAACCCCGUGAGGGGAGUGAAAUAGAACCUGAAACCGUAAGCUUACUAGCAGUGGGAGCACAAUGUACUUGUACAAGUGUGACCGCGUACCUCUUGCAUAAUGAGUCAGCGAGUUAUUCUUGCAGGCAAGGUUAAGCCGUCAAAGGUGUAGCCGUAGCGAAAGCGAGUCCGAAUGGGGCGCUUAGUCUGCAGGAUUAAACCCGAAACCCGGUGAUCUUAUCAUGGCCAGGGUGAAGCGUGGGUAAAACCGCGUGGAGGCCCGAACCGAUGGAAGUUGAAAAUUCCUCGGAUGAGCUGUGAUAAGGGGUGAAAGGCCAAUCAAACUGGGUUAUAGCUGGUUCUCCCCGAAAUAUAUUUAGGUAUAGCCUUGAGUUAAUUCUAUUACGGAGGUAGAGCACUGAAUGGGCUAGGGGUCUUUACCAGAUUACCAAACCCAAUCAAACUCCGAAUGCCGUUAAUAGCUAUCUCAGGAGGCAGUCCCGGGGUGACAAGGUCACGGGACGAGAGGGAAAGAGCCCAGACCGCCGGCUAAGGUCCCAAACUAUGUGCUAAGUGGAAAACGUUGUGGAGUUACUUAGACAACUAGGAGGUUGGCUUAGAAGCAGCGAUCCUUUAAAGAAAGCGUAAUAGCUCACUAGUCUAGUGAUUCUGCGCGGAAGAUAUAACGGGGCUCAAGCACAUGACCGAAGCCGCGGCUGCAUAGCGCAAGCUAUGCGGGGUAGGGGAGCGUUCUAGUGUAGGCUGAAGGUAGAUCGUGAGAACUGCUGGACGAACUAGAAGUGUUCAUGCUGACAUAAGUAGCGUAUAAACGCAGGUGAAAAACCUGCGCGCCGUAAACUCAAGGGUUCCUGGGCCACGAUAAUCGUCCCAGGGUUAGUCGAGUCCUAAGAUGAGGCCAAUCGGCGUAAUCGAUGGCAAAACGGUUAAUAUUCCGUUACCGAUUCUGAUGUAAAUAUCGGAGGGACAGAGUAGGAUAUACCAGCCUCUUAUUGGAUUGAGGUGUAAGCGUGUAGGUGGAGAGAUUGGCAAAUCCGUCUCUCUUUAACACUGAGACGCGAAUGCGAGGGACAUUUGUUCCGGAAGUGGUAAAAUCCAUGCUCUCAAGAAAAGCUUCGAUAUGUUGUUAGAGUCGCUCGUACCGUAAACCGACUCAGGUGAGUGGGGCGAAAAUCCUAAGGCGAUUGAGUUAAACCUAGUUAAGGAACUCGGCAACUUAACACCGUAACUUCGGGAAAAGGUGUGCCUUUGAAAGUGUAGUGAUUUACUCACGAAGCUUUUAGAGGUCGCAGAGACCAGGGAGUGGCGACUGUUUAUCAAAAACACAGGCAUGUGCAAAGUCACAAGACGACGUAUACGUGCUGACGCCUGCCCGGUGCUGGAAGGUUAAGAGGAUUUGUUAGCUUCGGCGAAGCAGAGAAUCGAAGCCCCAGUAAACGGCGGCCGUAACUAUAACGGUCCUAAGGUAGCGAAAUUCCUUGUCGGGUAAGUUCCGACCUGCACGAAUGGCGUAACGACUUCUCCGGUGUCUCAACUAGGUGCUCAGCGAAUUUGAAUUCUCGGUGAAAAUGCCGGGUACCCGCAGAAAGACGGAAAGACCCCGUGAACCUUUACUGCAACUUGGCAGUGAACUUUGAGUUUUCAUGUGUAGGAUAGGUGGGAGCCUUUGAAGCCGUGGCGCUAGCCACGGUGGAGGCAAUCUUGAAAUACCACCCUUGGAAACUUAGAGUUCUAACCUGCUCCCGUUAGCCGGGAGAGGGACACUGUCUGGUGGGCAGUUUGACUGGGGCGGUCGCCUCCCAAAAAGUAACGGAGGCGUG
This 2679-nucleotide unclassified non-coding RNA is filed under the name uncultured fungus. Its description in RNAcentral is "sequence contains 18S rRNA gene, ITS1, 5.8S rRNA gene, ITS2, 28S rRNA gene". The stretch from base 308 to 2679 matches the Rfam family "Bacterial large subunit ribosomal RNA", at positions 1 to 2310 of the family's 2925-position model. The record is from RNAcentral. Lineage: Eukaryota; Fungi.